GAAAUGCGAUAAGUAAUGUGAAUUGCAGAAUUCAGUGAAUCAUCGAAUCUUUGAACGCACAUUGCGCCCGCCAGUAUUCUGGCGGGCAUGCCUGUUCGAGCGUCAUUUCAACCAUCAAGCCCCCGGCUUGUGUUGGGGACCUGCGGCUGCCCGCAGGCCCUGAAAACCAGUGGUGGGCUCGCUGUCACACCGAGCGUAGUAGCAUACAUCUCGCUCAGGGCGUGCUGCGGGUUCCGGCCGUUAAAAGCCUUUUUUUACCCAAGGUUGACCUCGGAUCAGGUAGGAAGACCCGCUGAACUUAAGC
RNAcentral lists this unclassified non-coding RNA (304 nucleotides) under plant metagenome. Its description in RNAcentral is "partial contains 5.8S ribosomal RNA, internal transcribed spacer 2, and large subunit ribosomal RNA". The stretch from base 1 to 105 matches the Rfam family "5.8S ribosomal RNA", at positions 50 to 154 of the family's 154-position model. The record is from RNAcentral.